Long non-coding RNA from Chiroxiphia lanceolata (lance-tailed manakin), 2940 nucleotides. RefSeq lists it as uncharacterized. The record is from RefSeq and is a predicted model, not a curated record. The transcript has 2 exons. NCBI's taxonomy places the organism in Eukaryota, Metazoa, Chordata, Aves, Passeriformes, Pipridae.
GCUGCCUCUCCGCGCUGGGGCCGUGUCGCCUGCGGCCGGGCGUCCGCCCAGCCACCGGCUGUGCCCCUUCCGCUUCAGCAAGAUGAGCCGGGGCUGGAAAAUGAGAAAUAUUUGCAAAUGUUAAAUAGAAAAAAAAAAAUAAAAAAAGAAGCGAAGACCAAGAAACAACACAUGAUGAAGCUGAUGAAGUCAGACAAAAUGAUUAAUGAGGUCACAGAGUUACUGAAGGGAUGAUUUUUUCCUCGAUCCAGCAGCUGGUUAAUGUCUUAACUAAAAGUAAAGAAGAUGCUGUGUGCCUUUCAUAUAUAUAUAUGUUCUAAGAAUAAAGCACAUAAUGCAGGAGUGUUUGCAGGGACCACACGAACGUAAGUUCAGCUAAAAAUGGAAUUAUUUUGCUGUUUGUUAACUUUGCUUCUCCCAGGAAAUGUUAUCAGUCAUAGUCUCCCUUUUUCUUUUACAGAAGAUAAUUCUUUGUUAUAGAUGCACUCUGGCGGCUCCAUCGAGGUAACCCCCCUCAGAGAGAGAUGGACCCGCACUGUUCUGCCAGGCAUGUUGACCCUGGCUCUUUAGAAGCUCCGUGUACUCUUUAUCUGCUUGCCUUCUAAUCUGAUUUGGUUCUUUUUCCAAAUGGAUUUUAACUCUAAGUGUCACCAUAUCAAGUGAUUGUGGUUUGGGAUGAUUUUUUUUUUGGGGGGGGGGGUCACACAAUCAUUUUAAAGAAACUUAAUGUUUUGAAGAUAGAAUGGAGUACUACCCUAUCUAUUUUCAAGAGGAUCAGUAAAUACAACCACAGUACAAACACUGACAUUAGCAGAACACUUAUAGUGUAAACUUUAAGAAAGACAGGUCUUUGCACAUUGCAUGAAAUUAUUCAAGAUUAAAUUCUGGUUGAACAACCAAACAAUAUUCGUCUUGCUUAUUACCUUUUUUCUGCUGAAUACUAAAAUAUGCAUGUAAUUACACCUUUUUAACAGUAAUGCUUCCACUUUUUAACUACGAAAAAUAAUUUUCAAAAUUUUAUUCAUGAGUUCCAUGGUCUGACAUGUGCUUUUUAAAAUCAAACACAGAAUAGCUAGGACAUUGAAUGCUCCCUAAACUGUCCCACCAACUUUGUGUGUUGCAUGAGCCUUUAUUUAAUCCAGAAUGAAAUCUUAAAAGGAAGUUACAAUUUGUUUGCAUGUAUCAUUCUUCAAUAAAUAAACCACAGUCAAUUAGGUAAGUACGAAAUGAGACAGCUAUUGUUAUUUUUCUGUUGCUCAGGCUUUAACCAUAGCAUCCCACUGAAAUAAAAUACAGUGACACUAUUAAGUUUAUCUGGAGCAAAAAAAGGGCCAAAAUUAGGCGCAAUGCUACUUUACUCCUGAUGUAUAACAAUAUCAUUUGUUUAAUAGGUCUUCCCAGGAAAAUUUGUCUUUGUGUGGGAUAUACCUUUCAGAUAGUUUUUUAACAUAUAGACCGCUAUUCUCAAGUAGAAAUAAAUUUUCAGUUAUAUUCAGAUUUUGUCAAGUCCUUGGAGUAUAUAGAAAGUAAAUGAUAGCUACUGAACAUCAUUCUACCUUAGUCCUUACCUGUAUUUGCAUGGGCAUACUUAUGGCAACACAGCCGUACGCACAAACUUAGCUCUCUCAGUUGACAUACAACACAUCUGUAAUGGGAAUUUGCAUCACAGGAACGUAAUGAGCUCUUGUGUGCAGUAGCUGGUGACUCUGAUGAAGAGCCAUGGAGGCAUAGUUCUAGUAAAUAGUGAAGAAAACUGUUAGGAGUUGGACCACUCUAGUGGUCUUGUGCAUAUACCUCCUAGUAGGUUUAGGAAGCUAAUUAGAAAGACAUCAGCAAUUAGUAUUUACUCUUUUCUUCUUUUUGUUUAUAACAAAGUAGGACAAAAAAUCAUUUCAUGGAUUCUGCAAUGAGGAAACCAUGUGACCUCUCCAGCCAGUUCCCAGAAAAAGUGGCUGCUGCAAGAGAGUUCACCAUUCCUACACACCACUCAGAAAGUACUAAGAAAAAAAUGAAAAAAUACAGAGAGAAAAGAGAUUUCAAAUGACCAGAAAAUGUAAAAAGGUUGGUGAUUCUGGAAUAAGCUGAUUUUUACAAGUAUCUGACAAAUGGAAGUUCCAUUUUAGUUUGCUCUUACAUAGGAAUUUGAUACUAAGGGAAAAUCACUUUAGCAAAUGAAACAAAUAUAAAUUUACUUCAACUGCACUCUCACUAACAUUAAAAAAGUUCUCUUAGAGCAGGAAGCUAAAUCAGUAAAUUCCUUUUUUCUGUUAAAGUCCACUUUGGUUUAGGUCAGAUGCUUCUCUUAUAGAUAAGGGUUCCUUCUCGUAAUGAUAUCGUCAUGAGGAGGUCUUAAAGACUUUGAUUUGAAAUGUGCAAAUUUACCCUUAGCUGUUCAAUAAGUGUCAGAAACUUGCAUUAUAAGUAAAAAUAAGAAUGAAUAUUCCAUGGAAAAACACCUGGCUGUAGUAAGAUGAAUCCCUCAUUUUCAGGAAUGAAAUGGUUGUCUAUUGGUACUCAUGACUUUGUUUGCAGAAAUAGUUUGUUUUCUAGUUACAUGGUGUUACCACUGUCAUUGGCUAAGUCUCCUUUUUUUUGUUUUCUUCAACCUUUUAAGGAUUCAUACAGUGUGCAGAGCAUAGGACAAGGUCUCAAGGCUGUCAUAAACUUUCCCCAGUUUAAUGGCUUGAGAUGACACCUAGUCUACAACCAGUCAGAAUCUCAAAAUGUGUUAUGCAAAGACAGGCUCAGAUGAGCUGCAGGGUUUUUUUUCAUUAUAUGGUUGCCUUUUAAUUUUUAUUGCCAAGGGGACAAACCAAGAGGAAAUGGAUUUAAUAACUGCAAAGUGGUGCAUUUUAAAGCUGCUAUUAAUAACAUUUGAACUCUGAAUCUAAUUUGUGUGUAGGAGGAAUGAAUAAUAAUAAUGUUGUUUUAGAAAAUAAA